CCUACGGGCGGCAGCAGUGAGGAAUAUUGGUCAAUGGGCGCGAGCCUGAACCAGCCAAGUAGCGUGAGGGAUGAAUGCCCUACGGGUUGUAAACUUCUUUUAUAAGGGAAUAAAGUGAGGCACGUGUGCCGUUUUGUAUGUACUUUAUGAAUAAGGAUCGGCUAACUCCGUGCCAGCAGCCGCGGUAAUACGGAGGAUCCGAGCGUUAUCCGGAUUUAUUGGGUUUAAAGGGUGCGUAGGUGGGGUGUUAAGUCAGUUGUGAAAGUUUGCGGCUCAACCGUAAAAUUGCAAUUGAGACUGGCAGCCUUGAGUACAGUUGAGGUAGGCGGAAUGCGUGGUGUAGCGGUGAAAUGCUUAGAUAUCACGAAGAACUCCGAUUGCGAAGGCAGCCUACUAAACUGCCACUGACAUUGAUGCUCGAAAGUGUGGGUAUCAAACAGGAUUAGAUACCCUAGUAGUC
Molecule: ribosomal RNA, 460 nt
Filed under: uncultured bacterium
Lineage: Bacteria
Description: partial 16S ribosomal RNA
Rfam family: Bacterial small subunit ribosomal RNA
Source: RNAcentral